CGCUAGCUACAGGCUUAACACAUGCAAGUCGAGGGGCAGCAUUUUAGUUUGCUUGCAAACUAAAGAUGGCGACCGGCGCACGGGUGAGUAACACGUAUCCAACCUGCCGAUAACUCGGGGAUAGCCUUUCGAAAGAAAGAUUAAUAUCCGAUAGUAUAUUAAAACCGCAUGGUUUUACUAUUAAAGAAUUUCGGUUAUCGAUGGGGAUGCGUUCCAUUAGUUUGUUGGCGGGGUAACGGCCCACCAAGACUACGAUGGAUAGGGGUUCUGAGAGGAAGGUCCCCCACAUUGGAACUGAGACACGGUCCAAACUCCUACGGGAGGCAGCAGUGAGGAAUAUUGGUCAAUGGACGAGAGUCUGAACCAGCCAAGUAGCGUGAAGGAUGACUGCCCUAUGGGUUGUAAACUUCUUUUAUAUGGGAAUAAAGUAUUCCACGUGUGGGAUUUUGUAUGUACCAUAUGAAUAAGGAUCGGCUAACUCCGUGCCAGCAGCCGCGGUAAUACGGAGGAUCCGAGCGUUAUCCGGAUUUAUUGGGUUUAAAGGGAGCGUAGGUGGAUUGUUAAGUCAGUUGUGAAAGUUUGCGGCUCAACCGUAAAAUUGCAGUUGAAACUGGCAGUCUUGAGUACAGUAGAGGUGGGCGGAAUUCGUGGUGUAGCGGUGAAAUGCUUAGAUAUCACGAAGAACUCCGAUUGCGAAGGCAGCUCACUAGACUGCAACUGACACUGAUGCUCGAAAGUGUGGGUAUCAAACAGGAUUAGAUACCCUGGUAGUCCACACAGUAAACGAUGAAUACUCGCUGUUUGCGAUAUACAGUAAGCGGCCAAGCGAAAGCAUUAAGUAUUCCACCUGGGGAGUACGCCGGCAACGGUGAAACUCAAAGGAAUUGACGGGGGCCCGCACAAGCGGAGGAACAUGUGGUUUAAUUCGAUGAUACGCGAGGAACCUUACCCGGGCUUAAAUUGCAUUUGAAUAAUCUGGAAACAGGUUAGCCGCAAGGCAAAUGUGAAGGUGCUGCAUGGUUGUCGUCAGCUCGUGCCGUGAGGUGUCGGCUUAAGUGCCAUAACGAGCGCAACCCUUAUCUUUAGUUACUAACAGGUCAUGCUGAGGACUCUAGAGAGACUGCCGUCGUAAGAUGUGAGGAAGGUGGGGAUGACGUCAAAUCAGCACGGCCCUUACGUCCGGGGCUACACACGUGUUACAAUGGGGGGUACAGAAGGCAGCUACCUGGCGACAGGAUGCUAAUCCCAAAAACCUCUCUCAGUUCGGAUCGAAGUCUGCAACCCGACUUCGUGAAGCUGGAUUCGCUAGUAAUCGCGCAUCAGCCAUGGCGCGGUGAAUACGUUCCCGGGCCUUGUACACACCGCCCGUCAAGCCAUGAAAGCCGGGGGUACCUGAAGUACGUAACCGCAAGGAGCGUCCUAGGGUAAAACUGGUAAUUGGGGCUAA
This 1447-nucleotide ribosomal RNA is filed under the name uncultured organism. Its description in RNAcentral is "SSU rRNA". It matches the Rfam family "Bacterial small subunit ribosomal RNA". The record is from RNAcentral.